This 293-nucleotide long non-coding RNA is filed under the name Olea europaea (common olive). Its description in RNAcentral is "long non-coding RNA (OEUR_LNC005296)". The record is from RNAcentral. Lineage: Eukaryota; Viridiplantae; Streptophyta; Magnoliopsida; Lamiales; Oleaceae.
CAUAACUAUAGGGAAUUUCUCUGCCCUAGCACUCUUUAAAAUGAAUGGAUAUGAUGCAUUUGUUGAAAUUGAUUAUGACUUGCUUUGAGUAUUAUAGGGACUACAAGGUUUUCAAGUACAAGGUGAAAGUGAAGUUGAUGAGGAUGAUUUGUAAUAAGAUUAUUAUGGACAUCACUGGAAUAUCCAGUAUAACACAAUCCAUAGAGCAAACAUACAAUCAAAGUUUGGAGCAACUUUCAAAUCUCUAUUGGCCUGAAGGUUUAAAUAUUGAAACCCCACUAAUCUUCAUAAAU